GAAAGGAUUCUGCUCCAGGUAGCCAGACCUGAGUUUCUUUAUGUAGAUGUAUCUGGGGUGUCAGUCUGCCCUGUGACUUCAGUCAUCUGGUCAUCCUCAUUCAAUGCAGGAGGGUGAGACAAGAGGCAUGAACACAAAGGGGUGUUAUAGAGCUACUUGGAAACGACAAAGAUGUACAUCAGUGGGAGAAAAAUAUAAAAAAAAUAUGCAAGCAUUUCUGGAGGAUUCAGCAAUUUUAUUUCCCUGAAGAAAAUUGGACACAGCCAAUAGACAUAGUGCCUAGAGCUAAAAUUUGAACAUUUCUUCCUAGUCUCUUUCCAACUCAUGCCAUCAGACCUCACCAUGGACCUUUAAGAGAUACAUUAAGAGGUUUUACUCAAUAAAGACUAUUCUU
Molecule: long non-coding RNA, 394 nt
Organism: Odocoileus virginianus texanus
Lineage: Eukaryota; Metazoa; Chordata; Mammalia; Artiodactyla; Cervidae
Source: RefSeq, a predicted model, not a curated record